RNAcentral lists this ribosomal RNA (469 nucleotides) under uncultured organism. RNAcentral's name for it is "partial 16S ribosomal RNA". It matches the Rfam family "Bacterial small subunit ribosomal RNA", at positions 335 to 796 of the family's 1533-position model. The record is from RNAcentral.
ACUCCUACGGGAGGCAGCAGUAGGGAAUCUUCGGCAAUGGGGGCAACCCUGACCGAGCAACGCCGCGUGAGUGAAGAAGGUUUUCGGAUCGUAAAGCUCUGUUGUAAGUCAAGAACGAGUGUGAGAGUGGAAAGUUCACACUGUGACGGUAGCUUACCAGAAAGGGACGGCUAACUACGUGCCAGCAGCCGCGGUAAUACGUAGGUCCCGAGCGUUGUCCGGAUUUAUUGGGCGUAAAGCGAGCGCAGGCGGUUUGAUAAGUCUGAAGUUAAAGGCUGUGGCUCAACCAUAGUUCGCUUUGGAAACUGUCAAACUUGAGUGCAGAAGGGGAGAGUGGAAUUCCAUGUGUAGCGGUGAAAUGCGUAGAUAUAUGGAGGAACACCGGUGGCGAAAGCGGCUCUCUGGUCUGUAACUGACGCUGAGGCUCGAAAGCGUGGGGAGCGAACAGGAUUAGAAACCCGGGUAGUCC